UUUCAACAUCUCACGCCAGUUCUGUUUUGAUUGUCACUUUUCGGUCUCAUUUUAGGCUCUUCGUCUCUCUCUCUCACACUCUCUCAAACUCUCCGAUCAUUAUCUGUCUAGAAUUUUCUUUUGUUUCUAAACAGUAAAAUUCGACUUUGAUUUGUGGAAUCUCAAACAAAAGUGGCGUUGCUUGACAUUUGAGUUCGAUUUAUUGAGUUCUUAACCAAGUAUUUGAAUGCUGAAAUUGGGUUUCGCUUACUCUGAAGGUCCAACUGCUUCAAAAAGGAUUUAUUAUGAUCUGUGCUAUACAGUAAUGUAUUUCUCAGAAGUUUGAUAUUUGGAACAGACAGAAAAGAAUUUAUGCAGAAUCUGACAAGUGAAAUUCUAUUCUACCCAAAGUCUGUAGCACGAAGCUCUGAAAAUUUUCUCCAGAGGUUCAGGCUCCCAAAACUGCCAUGGUUCACCAAGUGAAAUCUCUAGGAAUGUUGAUCUUGCUGUGAUUGUUCUAAGGUGAGAUCUAGAAGCCUGAAAACGGUUUCUUUAAAGAACAUUCUGUGUGUUCCAUAUGCAUCAUGUUUUAGUGAUACUUGCACAGUUUAAAGCAACAUGUCGUCUUCAUUUAAUCUAUUGCAAGAUGCAUUAUCUUGAGUUUAAAAUUUUUGUUUUUCAGUUAAUUUUCCAUUCCAGUUACUGUAUUUGUAUCUUUUGUUGUUGGUAAAAAGAGGAUAAUUAUAUAAGAAUAAGCUGCAUUUAAGUUGCGUGAUGCA
Molecule: long non-coding RNA, 758 nt
Organism: Nicotiana attenuata
Lineage: Eukaryota; Viridiplantae; Streptophyta; Magnoliopsida; Solanales; Solanaceae
Exons: 2
Source: RefSeq, a predicted model, not a curated record